RNAcentral lists this ribosomal RNA (110 nucleotides) under Bacillus paralicheniformis. RNAcentral describes it as "partial 16S ribosomal RNA". It matches the Rfam family "Bacterial small subunit ribosomal RNA", at positions 1 to 107 of the family's 1533-position model. Lineage: Bacteria; Bacillati; Bacillota; Bacilli; Caryophanales; Bacillaceae. The record is from RNAcentral.
UUCAUGGAGAGUUUGAUCCUGGCUCAGGACGAACGCUGGCGGCGUGCCUAAUACAUGCAAGUCGAGCGGACAGAUGGGAGCUUGCUCCCUGAUGUUAGCGGCGGACGGGA